RNAcentral lists this ribosomal RNA (503 nucleotides) under uncultured bacterium. RNAcentral's name for it is "bacterial SSU rRNA". It matches the Rfam family "Bacterial small subunit ribosomal RNA", at positions 24 to 518 of the family's 1533-position model. The record is from RNAcentral.
UCAGGAUGAACGCUAGCUACAGGCUUAACACAUGCAAGUCGCGGGGCAGCAUGGAGUUUGCUUGCAAACUUGAUGGCGACCGGCGCACGGGUGAGUAACGCGUAUCCAACCUUCCCCUAGUAGGGCAUAGCCCGGCGAAAGUCGGAUUAAUACCCUAUGUUCUUCGUAGAGGACAUCUGAAAUGAAGCAAAGGUUUACCGCUAAGGGAUGGGGAUGCGUCUGAUUAGGCAGCAGGCGGGGUAAUGGCCCACCUGGCCUACGAUCAGUAGGGGUUCUGAGAGGAAGGUCCCCCACAUUGGAACUGAGACACGGUCCAAACUCCUACGGGAGGCAGCAGUGAGGAAUAUUGGUCAAUGGGCGAGAGCCUGAACCAGCCAAGUAGCGUGCAGGAUGACGGCCCUAUGGGUUGUAAACUGCUUUUAUGCGGGGAUAAAGUGCGGCACGUGUGCCGUUUUGUAGGUACCGCAUGAAUAAGGACCGGCUAAUUCCGUGCCAGCCGCGGC